CUUAUUUUCUGUCACAAGACAUUCCAGGUUCAUCUUGUACCUCCCCUGCACCAGCUCUAGAAUCAACCAUUUCUCCAAGGAGCCCUGGUUCCUUUUGGUGGAGUCGGGUAUUCAGAGUCCAAGACCUGGAUGUUCGGAAGGAAUUUUAAGUGAGGAGUAGCCAGCUACCUAAACAUCCAGCAUCCAAGAGUCAGACAUAAAAAAAGACUGACAUGCAAGAAAUUGUCUUGGAGUCUUUGACUUUCUGGUGUUCAACACGCAGGGCAGGAUCAGCUCUGGGCCACUUCUGGAAUGAAGAGGGGACACCUAUGUGAAGUCCAGGGAGGACAAGAGAGAGACAUUGGUGACGUCAUCGUUAGAAAACUCAGGCUGGAUGACAAAGCGACCCCAGGCAGGCCCCGCUUUGGACACGGAAGGCGAGAGGGACUUGUUGCUGGAGGUCACACUAAGCCCUCAAUCACAAACGGGUAUAGUUCUUCUCUGUUCGGCCUCUGAC
Talpa occidentalis (Iberian mole) is the source of this 496-nucleotide long non-coding RNA. RefSeq lists it as uncharacterized. The transcript is spliced from 4 exons. The record is from RefSeq and is a predicted model, not a curated record. NCBI's taxonomy places the organism in Eukaryota, Metazoa, Chordata, Mammalia, Eulipotyphla, Talpidae.